GACGAACGCUGGCGGCGUGCCUAACACAUGCAAGUCGAACGGAGCUUGUUUGAAUUGAGACUUCGGUCAAUUUUCAUUUGAGCUUAGUGGCAGACGGGUGAGUAACGCGUGAGUAACCUGCCGUUCAGAGGGGGACAACAGUUGGAAACGACUGCUAAUACCGCAUAAUGUAUCUCUGGGACAUCCCUAAGAUACCAAAGGAGCAAUCCGCUGAAUGAUGGACUCGCGUCUGAUUAGAUAGUUGGUGGGGUAACGGCCUACCAAGUCGACGAUCAGUAGCCGGACUGAGAGGUUGAACGGCCACAUUGGGACUGAGACACGGCCCAG
This 327-nucleotide ribosomal RNA is filed under the name uncultured bacterium. RNAcentral's name for it is "bacterial SSU rRNA". It matches the Rfam family "Bacterial small subunit ribosomal RNA", at positions 28 to 334 of the family's 1533-position model. The record is from RNAcentral.